UACAGAGGGUGCGAGCGUUGUCCGGAAUCACUGGGCGUAAAGGGCGCGUAGGCGGCUUGAUAAGCGUGCGGUGAAAGCCCCGGGGGCUCAACCCCCGGGUCGGCCGUGCGAACUGUCGAGCUGGAGCACUGUAGAGGCAGGUGGAAUUCCGGGUGUAGCGGUGGAAUGCGUAGAGAUCCGGAAGAACACCGGUGGCGAAGGCGGCCUGCUGGGCAGUGGCUGACGCUGAGGCGCGACAGCGUGGGGAGGCAAACAGGAU
This 259-nucleotide ribosomal RNA is filed under the name uncultured bacterium. RNAcentral's name for it is "partial 16S ribosomal RNA". It matches the Rfam family "Bacterial small subunit ribosomal RNA", at positions 524 to 778 of the family's 1533-position model. The record is from RNAcentral.